RNAcentral lists this ribosomal RNA (399 nucleotides) under uncultured bacterium. RNAcentral describes it as "partial 16S ribosomal RNA". It matches the Rfam family "Bacterial small subunit ribosomal RNA", at positions 338 to 734 of the family's 1533-position model. The record is from RNAcentral.
CCUACGGGUGGCAGCAGUGAGGAAUAUUGGUCAAUGGGCGCGAGCCUGAACCAGCCAAGUCGCGUGAAGGAUGACUGCCCUACGGGUUGUAAACUUCUUUUAUAAAGGAAUAAAGUGAGGCACGUGUGCCUUUUUGUAUGUACUUUAUGAAUAAGGAUCGGCCAACUCCGUGCCAGCAGCCGCGGUAAUACGGAGGGUCCGAGCGUUAUCCGGAUUUAUUGGGUUUAAAGGGAGCCUAGGUGGGUUGUUAAGUCAGUUGUGAAAGUUUGCGGCUCAACCGGAGAAGUGCAAUUGAUACUGGCAGCCUUGAGUACAGUUGAGGUGGGCAGAAUUCGUGGUGUAGCGGUGAAAUGCUUAGAUAUCACGAGGAACUCCGAUUGCGAAGGCAGCCUACUAAAC